Molecule: ribosomal RNA, 446 nt
Filed under: uncultured bacterium
Lineage: Bacteria
Description: SSU rRNA
Rfam family: Bacterial small subunit ribosomal RNA
Source: RNAcentral
AGAGCGAACGCUGGCGGCAUGCUUAACACAUGCAAGUCUCACGGGCAGCAAUGUCAGUGGCGGACGGGUGAGUAACGCGUAGGUAUCUAUCCUUGGGUGGGGGAUAACGUUGGGAAACUGACGCUAAUACCGCAUGACACCUGUGGGUCAAAGGCGCGAGUCGCCUGGGGAGGAGCCUGCGUACGAUUAGCUUGUUGGUGGGGUAAAGGCCUACCAAGGCUACGAUCGUUAGCUGGUCUGAGAGGAUGAUCAGCCACACUGGGACUGAGACACGGCCCAGACUCCUACGGGAGGCAGCAGUGGGGAAUAUUGGACAAUGGGCGAAAGCCUGAUCCAGCAAUGCCGCGUGUGUGAAGAAGGUCUUCGGAUUGUAAAGCACUUUCGGCGGGGACGAUGAUGACGGUACCCGCAGAAGAAGCCCCGGCUAACUUCGUGCCAGCAGCCGC